GUGAAUCAUCAAAUUUUUGAACGCAAAUUGCACUCUCUUCGGAGAGUAUGCGUGUUUCAGUGUCAGCCUAAAUUAAAUUGACAUAGUUGCUGUUACGCGGUAACAUUCGUCGGAAAUUGGCUCAUCUUAAACCUUUGGGUUUAAGCGGCUUAAAAUUUUCUUUACGAUUCCAAGAACGUUUCUAUGCUUUCAUCUUCUUAUACGUUUCAGGUAUCGUCCUUUAUUAGACUAGGCCGUUU
Molecule: unclassified non-coding RNA, 239 nt
Filed under: Glomus sp.
Lineage: Eukaryota; Fungi; Glomeromycota; Glomeromycetes; Glomerales; Glomeraceae
Description: partial contains 5.8S ribosomal RNA and internal transcribed spacer 2
Rfam family: 5.8S ribosomal RNA (bases 1-65)
Source: RNAcentral